AGUUUUGCACAGUGGCAGUAUCGUAGCCAAUGAGAUUUGUCUGAGGUGUGAUUAUUGCUAGUUGAAAAAUCAGAACUUACUGAACCCAAAUGGCCAAAGUAAUUCUGAGAAAGAACAAAGCUU
RNAcentral lists this small nuclear RNA (123 nucleotides) under Suricata suricatta (meerkat). RNAcentral describes it as "U4 spliceosomal RNA (ENSSSUG00005005388.1)". It matches the Rfam family "U4 spliceosomal RNA". From Rfam's summary of the family: U4 small nuclear RNA (U4 snRNA) is a component of the major U2-dependent spliceosome. The structure of U4 snRNA from yeast and human has been reported. The record is from Rfam by way of RNAcentral. Lineage: Eukaryota; Metazoa; Chordata; Mammalia; Carnivora; Herpestidae.